AGGACGAACGCUGGCGGCGUGCUUAACACAUGCAAGUCGAGCGGAAAGGCCCUUCGGGGUACUCGAGCGGCGAACGGGUGAGUAACACGUGGGCAACCUGCCCUUAGCUCUGGGAUAGCUCCGGGAAACCGGAAUUAAUACCGGAUAUGACCUAGGCCGACAUCGGCCGUGGUGGAAAGUUUUUCGGCUAGGGAUGGACUCGCGGCCUAUCAGCUAGUUGGUGGGGUAAUGGCCUACCAAGGCGACGACGGGUAGCCGGCCUGAGAGGGCGACCGGCCACACUGGGACUGAGACACGGCCCAGACUCCUACGGGAGGCAGCAGUGGGGAAUAUUGCGCAAUGGGCGGAAGCCUGACGCAGCGACGCCGCGUGCGGGAUGAAGGCCUUCGGGUUGUAAACCGCUUUCACCAGGGACGAAGCGGAAGUGACGGUACCUGGGGAAGAAGCGCCGGCUAACUACGUGCCAGCAGCCGC
Molecule: ribosomal RNA, 474 nt
Filed under: uncultured bacterium
Lineage: Bacteria
Description: SSU rRNA
Rfam family: Bacterial small subunit ribosomal RNA
Source: RNAcentral